This 247-nucleotide ribosomal RNA is filed under the name uncultured bacterium. RNAcentral describes it as "partial 16S ribosomal RNA". It matches the Rfam family "Bacterial small subunit ribosomal RNA", at positions 107 to 354 of the family's 1533-position model. The record is from RNAcentral.
UGAGUAACGCGUGAGGAACCUGCCUUCCAGAGGGGGACAACAGUUGGAAACGACUGCUAAUACCGCAUGAUGCGUUGGAGCCGCAUGACUCCGACGUCAAAGAUUUAUCGCUGGAAGAUGGCCUCGCGUCUGAUUAGCCAGUUGGUGAGGUAACGGCCCACCAAGGCGACGAUCAGUAGCCGGACUGAGAGGUUGGCCGGCCACAUUGGGACUGAGAUACGGCCCAAACUCCUACGGAAGGCAGCAG